This is a long non-coding RNA of Lutra lutra (Eurasian river otter), 729 nucleotides long. RefSeq lists it as uncharacterized. Lineage: Eukaryota; Metazoa; Chordata; Mammalia; Carnivora; Mustelidae. The record is from RefSeq and is a predicted model, not a curated record. The transcript is spliced from 3 exons.
GGCCCCGUAGUUUCCAAUGAGCCUGAAUUCCGGGCUGGUGGGAAUUUUGGGAAAAAGAAGCUCUUUGGUGGGGGGCAGGAGGGGGCAGAAGAUUAUGAGAUGAACUCUGGAGAUGAGAUUGAGAUGAACUGAGGAACGCUUUCUGAGAAUGAAGAAUGAAGUCAACAGAGAGGAAAGCUAUUGCAGGGGGCAUAGGGAGAUGGAUUCCUUCUGACUUUGAGACCCUGGAUGCAGCCACAGCACAUGACCUUCUCAUCUACCUUUCCCAAUUCACCCUGUUGGCUGCUGUGCUGAGGGACAGCUCAAAGUCAUGCACUUGGCAAGUGAUCUAGGAACUUCACUUGGCCCAGGAGUCUGCCAAUUCCGACCAUCCGAAGGGAGCCUGGUUUGAUGUGCAGUUUAAACGGGGUCUGAACAUAACCUAAUAUUUUGAUGAGGAUCUGUGCAAACUUCACACUCUGGAUAGCGGAAAGAACAAACAGAACCGAGUGGGGAGUAGGAGACGUCUACUCCUUAAUGAGCCUGCCUGGAGGGGCUCUGAUACGAUGCAGCCCCAUACCCUGCUCCCAGAGGUUACUCAACGGCUGCUGUCUCUGUCAGCCUCGAAAUCAAAGCCUUAAGGAACGAGCAAGAUUUGCAUCUUUUAAAAUCCUGCCAGUGAAGUGUAAAAGGUGUGAAUAUGCUUCUUGUUUGUUGCAAUAUUUUAAAAUAAAUUUUAAAUCAUUUGAA